RNAcentral lists this ribosomal RNA (253 nucleotides) under uncultured bacterium. RNAcentral describes it as "partial 16S ribosomal RNA". It matches the Rfam family "Bacterial small subunit ribosomal RNA", at positions 524 to 776 of the family's 1533-position model. The record is from RNAcentral.
UACGGGGGGGGCAAGCGUUGUUCGGAAUUAUUGGGCGUAAAGCGCACGUAGGCGGCCGACUAAGUCGGGUGUGAAAGCCCAGGGCUCAACCCUGGAAGUGCACUCGAAACUGAUCGGCUUGAAUAUGGAAGAGGGUCGCGGAAUUCCCGGUGUAGAGGUGAAAUUCGUAGAUAUCGGGAGGAACACCAGUGGCGAAGGCGGCGACCUGGGCCAAUAUUGACGCUGAGGUGCGAAAGCGUGGGGAGCAAACAGG